CCCUACGGGGUGCAUUUUUCGGGACCAGCUUUGUCGCAGUAGAUGUCCCAGACGUCGGUAUCCGGAUUGGCGUUUCCGUAGCCGAUGGCUUUGGCUGUGUCGAUGACGGAUCCGCCUCCGACGGCCAAAAGGAAAUCCGCGCCCUCCUUUUUCGCCAGCGCGACGCCUUCGUAAACCUUCGACAGACGGGGAUUCGGAAGGAUGCCGGUAAGCGAAAUAUACGGGAGGGCAUUCUUUGAAAGGGAGCUGCGGAUGCGGUCAAGAAGUCCGGAUUUCUCGGCGGAGCCGCCCCCGCUGACGAUGAGGACCUUCGUACCUCCGAAGGAGCGGAUCAGCUUUCCGGUUUGGUCUUCCGUAUCUUUUCCGAAGACGAUUUUUGUCGGGGUAUAGGAAGUGAAAUUUUCCAUGAGAAUGCCUUCUUUGUGGGAGACGUUACUUUGAUUUUAACAUUUACAGGCGGGAGGGC
Molecule: ribosomal RNA, 466 nt
Filed under: uncultured prokaryote
Description: partial 16S ribosomal RNA
Source: RNAcentral